GGCAAGACCAAUGCGGUCAAGCUACAAAGGGCUGACGGAGGAUACCUAGGCACACAGAGGCGAGG
RNAcentral lists this ribosomal RNA (65 nucleotides) under Koinonema pervagatum 61PC. RNAcentral describes it as "partial 23S ribosomal RNA". The record is from RNAcentral. Lineage: Bacteria; Bacillati; Cyanobacteriota; Cyanophyceae; Oscillatoriales; Oscillatoriaceae. RNAcentral also lists the same sequence under 1 other name.